UUUCAGUUUUAAAUAUAGCCGUACUCACCAUCUCUCCCCGCCUGGUACUUUUAAACUGAAAUCUUUAAAGAAGGAGCUGUGUGAUAAAAUUAUGCCGGUCAAUGAAUUAUGUAUGUAAGGACCUACUGUUCUAGUGUGUGAUCUCCGUUCAGACUUUAACUUAUGGAAUGCAAGUUUUUCUUUGACCUUAAUACAUUGGCUGCCCGACAACAAGAAGCACAUUUCAUCAGAAUUUGGAAACUGAAUACUGUUCAAUUUUUGGUUGCCCGGCAACCAGAGGAACCCCGUCUGGGGCAGAAUAGCAUAGGGGUUAGUUAACCCUAAGGGUUAACCCUAACCCGCAUAGUCUGUUGAACUCCUGAGCAACUUAGCUCACCACUAUGCCACUUUAUAACAGUCGACGUGUGUAUAACAAUGUCUGUUAUCAUUUCACAACUGUUUAUUUAGGUCUCAGCUCUCUUUACUUGUGUUUCUCUUAUACUUUUUAUUUUUAUAUUGCACCGUUGAAGGAGCCUGAGACUCAAAAAUUGUAUUGCCAGCAACUGCUUCUGUAAUUGUAAUAUAGCAAUAAAGCACCUCUACCCUUGAACCUUGAACCUUGAUAAUGGUAGAGAGAAUGGUAGAGGCUGCAGCAUAACGAUCAACUUUAUUGUCUUCUUUGGGUUGAAACACGUUGGUUCUUGGGCACAUUGCGAGACCGGUCAGGCAUCAUGACCAGUGUUAACUCUCCAGCCUGUCUACUAGCCAGAAAUCACUUCAAGCGAAGUCCUUGGACAGUGCUGGAGUCGAGCGGACAGACGGACGCCUCCGGCAGACAGAGACACAGACAGAUGACACUGUGGGUCACAGUGACAAUACCCCCAGGAUUCCCGGGGGGAUUCGGCACCCGAGGACUGUGGGUCAGCUUGGUCCUGGGUUCUUCCUCCCUCCCUCGCACCUCCCUCACCAAGCCUUCGGACAGUCCAGCCAACCCGAAGGGGAAAUAGGAAGAACGAAACAAACCCCAUCGGCCGUCAAACCGGAGGACCGUUUCUCCUUCUGAAUGGGCACCGCAAAUGGACAAACACUUAAAAAGAGUCCUAGUGGGUGGUUGCUACAAAAGCCCUAGCAAUGGAAAACCACAACAUAAUUCCUAGCAACAGAUUACUGCUACAUAAUUCCAAGCAGUGGGUUACUGCUACAUAAGUCCUAGCAGUGGUAUACUGCUACAUAAGUCCUCCUAGCAGUGGGUUACUGCUACAUAAGUCCUAGCAGUGGGUUACUGCUACAUAAGUCCUAGCAGUGGGUUACUGCUACAUAAGACCUAGCAGUGGUAUACUGCUACAUAAGUCCUCCUAGCAGUGGGUUACUGCUACAUAAGACCUAGCAGUGGUAUACUGCUACAUAAGUCCUAGCAGUGGGUUACUGCUACAUAAGUCCUAGCAGUGGGUUACUGCUACAUAAGUCCUAGCAGUGGGUUACUGCUACAUAAGUCCUAGCAGUGGGUUACUGCAACAUAAGUCCUAGCAGUGGGUUACUGCUACAUAUGUCCUCCUAGCAGUGGUAUACUGCUACAUAAGUCCUCCCAGCAGUGGGUUACUGCUACAUAAGUCCUAGCAGUGGGUUACUGCUACAUAAGUCCUCCUAGCAGUGGUAUACUGCUACAUAAGUCCUCCUAGCUGUGAGUUAUUGCUGCAUAAGUCCUCCUAGCAGUGGGUUACUGCUACAUACGUCCUAGUCCUAGCAAUGGGUUAAUUCUACAUCAAUUCCUACUCCUAGCAGUGAGUUACUUCUACGUAAUUCCUACUUCUAGCAGUGGGCUUCUGCUACAGAAGACCUUUGUCUAGAAGUGGGUUGCUACUUCUUAACUCUUGUGGGUCCUCAGACAUUCUGGAAACAGUAUAGAAAGUUUCCAACACUCAAGGCAGGAAAAUUUAAACUAUGUGAGAGUUGAAUGUAUCCCAGCAGGCCAAGCUUCUGCCAAAGGAGCCUCAUGUUUCGAUCAGACGAGGGGAGGGGAUAAAGCAUGCCGCUGUUCCCAGUUAGAAGGACGGCUGUCUUGAAAAAUAUCUAUACCACUUUCUAAUAACAUGGGCUGUCACAAUUAAAACAGUACGAUUUUAGUUAGUUUGUUAUAUUUAUUGUUUACUAUGUGAAUGGUAUGUAAGUACAAUCUCAAGGAACGUUUGUGAUUCUCUACGAUUUAUCUAGAUACAGGUUAGCCAGUGCUCAAUCUUCUUGAGCUUCACUACCAUGGCCUGUAUAAGAGUUUGCUAAUCAUGAUCCAAAAAAUGAUAUAGGAAGGAGAGAGGUAGGAAUUAAGACAAUUUCUCCUAGAAGGGAAUAUACAGAAAAAGAAGAGGAAAUAGGGCAGGAGGGAUCUGGGAUUGACAGGUGGGUAUUAUAGAUACCAACCUGUAUUGAAAUGUAAUACAUUGGUUCAGAUUUAUUUGAAACAAUGUAAUUUAUGUGAUUUAUUUAACCCUUCACAAUCUGAUAUUUUGAUGCACAACUACAAUAAAUGUAACCUUAAUUUGAUCCCGUAA
Gadus morhua (Atlantic cod) is the source of this 2525-nucleotide long non-coding RNA. RefSeq lists it as uncharacterized. Lineage: Eukaryota; Metazoa; Chordata; Actinopteri; Gadiformes; Gadidae. The transcript is spliced from 4 exons. The record is from RefSeq and is a predicted model, not a curated record.